RNAcentral lists this ribosomal RNA (465 nucleotides) under Vreelandella stevensii. Its description in RNAcentral is "partial 16S ribosomal RNA". It matches the Rfam family "Bacterial small subunit ribosomal RNA", at positions 338 to 795 of the family's 1533-position model. The record is from RNAcentral. Lineage: Bacteria; Pseudomonadati; Pseudomonadota; Gammaproteobacteria; Oceanospirillales; Halomonadaceae.
CCUACGGGUGGCUGCAGUGGGGAAUAUUGGACAAUGGGGGCAACCCUGAUCCAGCCAUGCCGCGUGUGUGAAGAAGGCCCUCGGGUUGUAAAGCACUUUCAGUGAGGAAGAACGCCUGGUGGUUAAUACCCAUCAGGAAAGACAUCACUCACAGAAGAAGCACCGGCUAACUCCGUGCCAGCAGCCGCGGUAAUACGGAGGGUGCGAGCGUUAAUCGGAAUUACUGGGCGUAAAGCGCGCGUAGGUGGCUUGAUAAGCCGGUUGUGAAAGCCCCGGGCUCAACCUGGGAACGGCAUCCGGAACUGUCAAGCUAGAGUGCAGGAGAGGAAGGUAGAAUUCCCGGUGUAGCGGUGAAAUGCGUAGAGAUCGGGAGGAAUACCAGUGGCGAAGGCGGCCUUCUGGACUGACACUGACACUGAGGUGCGAAAGCGUGGGUAGCAAACAGGAUUAGAUUCCCCUGUAGUC